UCCUCAAUAGCUCAGUUGGUUAGAGCAUCUGACUGUUAAUCAGAGGGUCGUAGGUUCAAGUCCUACUUGAGGAGCCA
RNAcentral lists this transfer RNA (77 nucleotides) under Bacteroidales bacterium. Its description in RNAcentral is "tRNA-Asn". It matches the Rfam family "tRNA". From Rfam's summary of the family: Transfer RNA (tRNA) molecules are approximately 80 nucleotides in length. Their secondary structure includes four short double-helical elements and three loops (D, anti-codon, and T loops). The record is from RNAcentral. Lineage: Bacteria; Pseudomonadati; Bacteroidota; Bacteroidia; Bacteroidales.